CUGCAGUCUCGUGGAAGAAACCCUCAUCGUUGGCGGCGACGGCUUCUUCACUCGGGGCGAUUGGAUCUGACUGCAAUCUCGCCGCCCUUGUUCCACCUCCUACCCACCCCGAGCGGCCUUCUACUCCACGCCCUCACCGCCGACUGCUCUGGCUCCGUGUUGCCUGUGCUUCACCGGCUUCUGAUCCCCCAGUGAUGCGUGACCAAAUCCUGGCGAUCCAUGCCUCCACGGCUCCACCCAAUCAACGUCUGAAAUCAAAACCUGCUCCACGGCCUGCCACACAAACACAAGAUCUGUAAGGGCCGGAAAGACGAGUUCGUCCUAUCGGCGAUGGAGAUCCACCACCUGUUGAUUCUGCAUCCGCCGUCACCGACGAGAUGUUUCUCACGAAGUAAACGAUUUCGAGUUUGGAAUUUUCAUAUUUUUCUUCUCUACAUCGAUUCAAAUUUGUUGCGGUGUUUGGUGGCGAAGGUGGGAUGAUGGUUUUCCUCGGUUUUUCUCGAUGUGUGUAGGACGGAGUACCACUGGCUGGUUGAACACCUUCUCCCCAAGUCGAUGUUGUUCCAGGUUGAGUACGCCAUUGAGGCCAUAAAGUUGGGCUCAACCACGGUCAGGUUGAAGACUAAGGAUGUUGUUGUUGUCCGGGCCGGUGAGGAACGUGUGACCACAUCGCUGCUGGGCUGGACUAACGACACCAACUUCAUCCGCUGCAAAUGGAGAUGAAUUAGAGAGAAUCCAUGGUCGUGCUUUCCUCCUGGCAUUAUACUCUAUUUACUCAUCAACCCCCUGUUUGAGCCAUUACGGGAUGGGAGAGAGUACAUAAACCAGUACACCAUUCGUGACCACAUCUUGCCGUCUUCACCACAACAAGGACCGGUACUUACGCAUGACACAACGUGGUGCUACGUUGGCGGGCUUGCGGCCAUGUUCCUCGACCCUUGCAUUACCGUAUCUGUCGCAUCGCGUUCUUGCCGUCUGCACUCAACCUUUGCAUUACCGUAUGCUCAGCUAGGCAUUGGCGGGCUGGCGGCCGGCCAUGGUAUCUCUAUAUGUCAUCAUCUUUUCUGAUAUCAUCAUGAAAUAUUCGGGCAACUCCCAAAUGUGAUUAACGAUAGAAGAACAAAGAACUGAAGUACUGAACUAUGUUCUCAAACUUGGAGAAGAAAACAGCAAAUCUUCGUCAGUGCUGGACUAGAGGUUUGCAUAAAGAUCAUUUAAAACUGACUGCAAAGAGUUCACAAAAAAUCUCUAGAAUUUUUUGGUUUCCUUUUUUGGACUCAAGUUUUGGGUGCAAACCUUUUCGUGGUUGCAUCAUGAAAGUUGGGACUUGGCAGUAAGAAACAGAAGAAUUCAUCACGACAUCACCUAGCUUAGCAUGUGCACAUGAUUUCUUUUUCUUGGUCCUUCCGUAUGGUAACACAUCCAUCCACAUGUAGUUUGAGGUUUUUUUGUGUCAAGCAAGUAGUUUGAAUGUACAAUAUGGAUUAGCACGAACAGAAUGUGGGUUGCUCUGCUCCAAUUUUUGCAGCCUUAUAUGUCACUUAAUGUUUCUGGUUUUCCAUUUUUUCAUACACUUAAUGGAAACUUGGGGUUAGCAGGAAUUGAAAAGGCUAACAUUUAUGUAUUAGUUAGUAAACAAAAUUAGUUAGCAUUACUAUGUCUUCCGAUCAGUAUUGAUCUUUUAUUGUUCUUUUCCUAUUUUGGUUAUGAUAAAAUCUGGUUGACAUAUUCAUUUUUUUCUGAAUCGAGUGACUCUACGGUGCAGAUCUGGUGAACACUAGAUUUCACACAAGUCUAGAAGAACAAGGUACAAAAUGGACAUGUAAGUUCCUCACGGCAGUAAAGCGGGUGCAAAAUUUGGCUCCCUAAUAGUUUUCCAAGAAAACAUGAAAUGUUCGAAGUGUAUACCAUGUUUCGAAACUUAUGGUCCCAACAAUCGUUUCAUGGUUUCAAGUCUUAGGUCUGCAAGUGUUACUGUAAGUGGUUGUGGUUUUUUGUAGAUUUUCUUUUCUCUACGUUGCCAGUAUGAGUAAUCAAAACGGGUGUGUUUUUUUAUGCUUGCAUUGAAAAUCACAGGUCCAUACAUUUGGAUAGAUUGAGA
This is a long non-coding RNA of Lolium perenne, 2101 nucleotides long. RefSeq lists it as uncharacterized. NCBI's taxonomy places the organism in Eukaryota, Viridiplantae, Streptophyta, Magnoliopsida, Poales, Poaceae. The record is from RefSeq and is a predicted model, not a curated record.